RNAcentral lists this ribosomal RNA (497 nucleotides) under uncultured bacterium. Its description in RNAcentral is "bacterial SSU rRNA". It matches the Rfam family "Bacterial small subunit ribosomal RNA", at positions 15 to 507 of the family's 1533-position model. The record is from RNAcentral.
GAUCAUGGCUCAGAUUGAACGCUGGCGGAAUGCUUUACACAUGCAAGUCGAACGGCAGCACGAGGGCAACCUUGGUGGCGAGUGGCGAACGGGUGAGUAAUACAUCGGAACGUGCCCAGUCGUGGGGGAUAACGUAGCGAAAGCUACGCUAAUACCGCAUACGAUCUAUGGAUGAAAGCGGGGGACCGUAAGGCCUCGCGCGAUUGGAGCGGCCGAUGGCAGAUUAGGUAGUUGGUGGGGUAAAGGCUCACCAAGCCUGCGAUCUGUAGCUGGUCUGAGAGGACGACCAGCCACACUGGAACUGAGACACGGUCCAGACUCCUACGGGAGGCAGCAGUGGGGAAUUUUGGACAAUGGGCGCAAGCCUGAUCCAGCCAUUCCGCGUGCAGGAUGAAGGCCUUCGGGUUGUAAACUGCUUUUGUACGGAACGAAAAGGUUUUCCUUAAUACGGAGAGCUCAUGACGGUACCGUAAGAAUAAGCACCGGCUAACUACGUG